Molecule: non-coding RNA, 75 nt
Organism: Phrynosoma platyrhinos (Desert horned lizard)
Lineage: Eukaryota; Metazoa; Chordata; Lepidosauria; Squamata; Phrynosomatidae
Source: the annotation of a GenBank genome assembly
GGCUGGCAUGGUGUAGUGGUCUGGGCAUGUUGGACUGUGACUCUGGAGACCAAGGUUCAAAUCCCCAUUCAGCUA